UAGAGAAUUUUUGUAAUUAACUUUGCCUAAGCAGCUCUGCUGUUCCCACUAAAGCCUCUGAAGUCUGUUUUGCUUUGGACCUUGCUGACUUUUCUCAUCUGUAGAUGAGAAUAAACGUUGGAAGGAAGCUGGCCUGUGCCUCUGCCCCUUAUCACGCCCACGGGACGGGGGGAACGCAGAGGGAACGGCCUCAGGAGAGCCCUGCUCGCCAAACCCGAGGGGCAACGCCGCAGCCAGGGCCCUGCCAAGCCACUGUUUGGAAACAUCAUGCUUCUGUUACUGCUUUCUGUUUGCGUUGGCCAGCUCUUCCUGUACAUAUGUUUUUUCUUAUAUCCUGUUUUUUUCUUUUUGUAAAGAGAAGAGAAAAAACAAAAGAAAAUUAUUUUUCUUUCCCUCAGUACACAUUCUUCAAAGUUCAAAUUAUAGUGUUUGUUAAAUAAAAAGAAAGAUUUACAUUUAAUUCCGAGCGUCUCCCCUUCUUGGGUUUCGCCGGGUGGCGGCGGCAGCGGCGGCUCCAGCCCUCGGGAGCCGCCUCCGUUCGGAGCCGGGGGCUCGGGCUCGGCCCC
This is a long non-coding RNA of Struthio camelus australis, 566 nucleotides long. The record is from Ensembl. Lineage: Eukaryota; Metazoa; Chordata; Aves; Struthioniformes; Struthionidae.